This 253-nucleotide ribosomal RNA is filed under the name uncultured bacterium. RNAcentral's name for it is "partial 16S ribosomal RNA". It matches the Rfam family "Bacterial small subunit ribosomal RNA", at positions 524 to 776 of the family's 1533-position model. The record is from RNAcentral.
UACAGAGGGUGCGAGCGUUGUCCGGAAUCACUGGGCGUAAAGGGCGCGUAGGCGGCUUGAUAAGCGUGCGGUGAAAGCCCGGGGCUCAACCCCGGGUCGGCCGUGCGAACUGUCGAGCUGGAGCACUGUAGAGGCAGGUGGAAUUCCGGGUGUAGCGGUGGAAUGCGUAGAGAUCCGGAAGAACACCGGUGGCGAAGGCGGGUCUCUGGGCCGAUAUUGACGCUGAGGAGCGAAAGCGUGGGGAGCAAACAGG